Molecule: long non-coding RNA, 210 nt
Filed under: Malus domestica (apple)
Lineage: Eukaryota; Viridiplantae; Streptophyta; Magnoliopsida; Rosales; Rosaceae
Description: long non-coding RNA (MDOM_LNC008548)
Source: RNAcentral
AAUAUUAUGUCAAAACCCCUAAUGUGAUUAUUCCUUCUUAUAUGAUUCUUUUGAGUCGUAUAAGAACGUUUUCCUUUAUUACGCUCGAUACUUCGGUCGAAGAUUCCCGAAUCAUAUCUUAGAGUAUUCUUCCUCUCUUAUCGAGGAUUAGAGAUUCUUGUUGCGCAUACACUUGCCUUCAUGACUAAGUGGCUUAACCCCAAUUAUGCC